This 488-nucleotide ribosomal RNA is filed under the name uncultured bacterium. RNAcentral describes it as "partial 16S ribosomal RNA". It matches the Rfam family "Bacterial small subunit ribosomal RNA", at positions 28 to 507 of the family's 1533-position model. The record is from RNAcentral.
GACGAACGCUGGCGGCGUGCUUAACACAUGCAAGUCGAACGCGCCUGUCCUCUGGGUUUCUGGGGGGUGGGUGAGUGGCGAACGGGUGAGUAACACGUGAGUAACCUGCCCCCUUCUUCGGGAUAACGGUCUGAAAGGGCUGCUAAUAUCGGGUAUUCACUGGUCUCCGCAUGGGGUCUGGUGGAAAGGUUUUUUUCUGGUGGGGGAUGGGCUCGCGGCCUAUCAGCUUGUUGGUGGGGUGAUGGCCCACCAAGGCUUUGACGGGUAGCCGGCCUGAGAGGGUGGCCGGUCACAUUGGGACUGAGAUACGGCCCAGACUCCUACGGGAGGCAGCAGUGGGGAAUAUUGCACAAUGGGCGCAAGCCUGAUGCAGCGACGCCGCGUGAGGGAUGGAGGCCUUCGGGUUGUGAACCUCUUUCGCCCGUGGUCAAGCCGCGACGUGGGUCGUGGUGAGGGUAGUGGGUAAAGAAGCGCCGGCUAACUACGUG